Molecule: ribosomal RNA, 253 nt
Filed under: uncultured bacterium
Lineage: Bacteria
Description: partial 16S ribosomal RNA
Rfam family: Bacterial small subunit ribosomal RNA
Source: RNAcentral
UACGAAGGGGGCUAGCGUUGCUCGGAAUCACUGGGCGUAAAGCGCACGUAGGCGGACUCUUAAGUCGGUGGUGAAAUCCUGGAGCUCAACUCCAGAACUGCCUUCGAUACUGAGAGUCUCGAGUCCGAGAGAGGUGAGUGGAACUGCGAGUGUAGAGGUGAAAUACGUAGAGAUUGGGAAGAACACCAGUGGCGAAGGCGGCUAUCUGGACGGUUUCUGACGCUAAGACGCGAAAGCGUGGGGAGCAAACAGG